RNAcentral lists this long non-coding RNA (527 nucleotides) under Vigna radiata. Its description in RNAcentral is "long non-coding RNA (VRAD_LNC016345)". The record is from RNAcentral. Lineage: Eukaryota; Viridiplantae; Streptophyta; Magnoliopsida; Fabales; Fabaceae.
UAGCAAGUAAAUUUUCAAGUAUAUCAAUAUCAAACAUAUGACUUUUGCAUGACAAGCAUUCAUUAGGUUCAACAAUAGCAUUUGAGUCAGACAAUUUUACUUCUAAAGUACUGACUNUGUUUCUUAAUACAACUUCAUCAUCAAGUAGUUUAUCAUAUUUCAAUUUUAAAUCACUGUGCUCUUUUUUAAGUUUUUUAUGUGCAACAUCAAGUUUUUCAGAUUCAUUCAUUAAUUCAAAGAAAGCUUUUUGUAAAUCUAGUUCAUUUGAUUCAAUGCUGGAAUCACUUACUUGACUUCCAGUAUCUUCAAAAUCUGCCAUCAGACAAACGUUGGUUUCUUCAUCUGAAUCGCUUGAGCUUGUUAAGCUUGAGGCAUUGUCCUCCCAAGCUAUGUACGCCUUCUUUUUCUUUUGAAAUUUUCUUUCCUUCUUGUCAUCACUUUUCUUAAUCUUUGGACACUCAGAUUUUACGUGCCCUCUUUCUCCACAACCAAAACAUUUUACGUUUGAAGGAGAUUCUUGACUUUCU